RNAcentral lists this long non-coding RNA (577 nucleotides) under Sus scrofa (pig). RNAcentral describes it as "lncRNA (ENSSSCG00050029770.1)". Lineage: Eukaryota; Metazoa; Chordata; Mammalia; Artiodactyla; Suidae. The record is from RNAcentral.
GAUGCAGGUGGGGGUGUGAGAGGGGAUGGUGGCGAGCUCGGUGCACGGGUGCGUGUGCCAGGCUGCUGGGAGUGAGCGCGAGGCUGUGUGUCACAGCUGUUGUUCACUGAGACCGAGCUAACAUCAGCUCAGUCCACAGCUACCUGUGAAGGAAGACGGCCGCACCAGGAGACACCUGUUUGAGCUGGUGGGUGGACCUCCUGGCUCCUGACUGCUCUGUUCUCGAUGUGCCUUGGAAGGGUCUUUGAGUGCAAGCUUCUUCUGGGGAGAUGGCCGUGUCUGGCCCACGUCUUCCGGUGCUCACAGGACUGUGAGGAAUUUGCAAAUCCAGGUUUAAGGUUUGGGAAGCGAGGCUUUGUGACCUGCCUGCCUGUCUCAGCGUCUUGUGGUUCUCACAGGAGCUGAAUUUCUGAGGUUGCAUGGUUCCCUCUGAAUUCCUGAAAGCCCGAGGACAAACAGAACAGAAGAUGUUCUCAACAUGAGUGUGGGUAAUUUGUUUCCAGUGAAGACACAGUGUGGAUAAUUUACCUGUACAAGUCAAGAGAUGGAUACUUUUCCCAUCCAGUCUCACUGUGAC